Molecule: long non-coding RNA, 716 nt
Organism: Grammomys surdaster
Lineage: Eukaryota; Metazoa; Chordata; Mammalia; Rodentia; Muridae
Exons: 3
Source: RefSeq, a predicted model, not a curated record
GGACACAUGGGCCCUGUGCUGUCUCAGCUGAGAGGGCCCCGUCUGCUGAUUCAUUUGCACCUGGGGCUUCUUGGCUGGUCAUCUGGAAAGGUGAUGGGUCACGCAUCUUCCGGACACACCGUGAAGUGGAAGAAAUGGAACAGUAGCUCUGCAUCACAUGUGAAGAACAAGAAGCACCAACAUAGGUCUUCAUUCUACCCUCAUGAAACUGUAUAGAUUUCAUCUUCAAUAUUAAUCCACAGGCUUUAAGAACUUAAAGCUCUCUAAAGAGCUCCCGGGAUGGAAACAGUUGUCAGCUCUUCCGCCAAAGGUGCUCAAACCAUCCCACUGCCACAUUCAAAUGUAAGAAGCUCCCAACAUGGAGGAGACAUCCCUUCUAGUUAUGGUCUUGGUAUGCGCCAGCUCUCUUUCACUAAUGUCCACUUUAAAAAUAUACAUCAUAAACUGGGGAUAGUGGCACAUGCCUUUAAUCCCAGCACCUGGGAGGCAGAAGCAGGCAGAUCCCUGAGAGUUUGAGGCCAGCCUGGUCUACAGAGUGAGUUCCAGGACAGCAGGGGCUAUAUAGUCAAACCAUCCACAUUUUGAAAAAACAGGCAAAUGUAUAUUAUUUACUUGUAUUGCAUAUUAUAUUGUGCAUAUAUGAUAUGUAUGCAUCAUAAUAAUCUGUCCUUCCCAUACAUUGAAUGAACUGAUAUUUCAUUCUCUCGUAAAUUUGG